RNAcentral lists this long non-coding RNA (530 nucleotides) under Lynx pardinus (Iberian lynx). The record is from RNAcentral. Lineage: Eukaryota; Metazoa; Chordata; Mammalia; Carnivora; Felidae.
GGGUGUGCGGGUCCUCAGUUCCUCCACGGCCAAUUGGGGGCGCCAGAGAGCAGCGGCCGCCCCUCCGCAGACAGCGCGUGGGAGGGCCUGGAAUCCCAGGCGGGCGUCUGGCUGGUUGGAGUCUCUCGGCCAAGAGACUGACCUCUCAGAGCCUCUCUGCUUGGGUGAAACAGGGCCUGCCCCUCGGUGAUGCGCGAGAGGUUAAUGAACUGAAAUGAGCCUACUAGGCUUCUAAGUAAUGAAGGCCUCAAACCCCAUCACCAGCCGAGUUCCCCAAAGAAGGGGUGGGUUGGGGAGGGAGAGGAGUUUCUGAGCCUUUCCGGCAGAGCUCCCUCUGCUGUUCACGGCCAGGCCGGUCCUUGUUUAUCCCAGUGUUACUUUCUCCAGAGUGCCUGCCAUGCUUGGGUCAUUUUCUACCUUCUCUGCACAUGUUAUCCUGAGCUCUGGGAAGGCAGCCUCUGUCUCUGCCCCUCCUGAAAUCAGAGUCAAGCCCAGAGACUGACCCAAAGAAGGUGCUGGAUAAAAUCUUA